RNAcentral lists this ribosomal RNA (441 nucleotides) under uncultured bacterium. RNAcentral's name for it is "bacterial SSU rRNA". It matches the Rfam family "Bacterial small subunit ribosomal RNA", at positions 28 to 484 of the family's 1533-position model. The record is from RNAcentral.
GACGAACGCUGGCGGCAGGCUUAACACAUGCAAGUUGAACGGGAUUUGAUGGUAGCUUGCUAUCAUUGAAGAGAGUAGCGCACUGGUGAGUAACACGUGGGAACAUACCCUUUUGGUGGGGGACAACAGUUGGAAACGACUGCUAAUACCGCAUAAGCCCUGAGGGGGAAAGAUUUAUUGCCCGAAAGAUUGGCCCCGCGGAAGAUUAGGGUAGUUGGUGGGGGUAAAAGGCUCACCAAGCCAACGAUCUAUAGCUGGUCUGAGAGGACGAUCAGCCACAUUGGGACUGAGAUACGGCCCAGACUCCUACGGGAGGCAGCAGUGGGGAAUAUUGGGCAAUGGGGGAAACCCUGACCCAGCAACGCCGCGUGAAGGAAGAAGGCCUUCGGGUUGUAAACGUUCUUUUACCUAGGGACGAACGAAACUAGACGGUACCUGGAG